GUAUGGAGCCCCUUCUCCCAAUAUCUGUAUCUUACAGAUUUGGUGCAUAGACGCUUAAAAGGAGUUGGUCUUUCGCAACCAGCAAUCUUUAGGAAAAAUGAUUGAAUUUUUCUCCUUUUAGCUGGGCUUACAAAAUGGAGCAAAACAUAGUGAUUGUGCUAUGGACCUUUUAUGGACAGGGACUUGGCAGAGCCACUCACUGGAUGCUUUUGAUCUGCUGGUUGUACCUGGAUUAUUAGUUGCGAGCUGCACGCUGCCUUCCCUGGGCCAUUCCGUAGCCCUGGGGCUGGAGGGCAGUUAGAAUCUUUGGUUGAAUCUUCGGUUACAUUGGAGGAGCUGCCCAGUCUUUGUGGGCUCCCUUCAGUCAUGGGCUUGGCUUGUGUUGUCUUACUCUACACUGUUUAGUGUAAAUGGAUUCUCACUAAGUCAGCUUCAGCUUUUAAGAGCAUGAUGGGGUGGAGAUAUCUGGGAACGUAUGGGCCAUCAGAAAAGCAUUUUUUUAUACUCAAGUCAUGAAGGUGGAUUUCUUCUGUGUAAGGAGGUGCACCAAGUCAGUGUAGGUGCAAGACUGCCCUUGUAAAGAAGCAGAGUAUGUGAAUUCCUUGUGAGUGGGUCUUAAUCUUUAAUGCUUUAAUGACUUUUGGUUUGCCUGAUUUUUUUUAAUAUAAGAAGUUUGUAAUUGCCAAGCAUGCUUUUCUGUGAAGAGCUAAGUCUCAAAAUUCCCCAUUCACGUUCUUUUCCUUUCCUCAGUAAUGUGUUUUUCUGUGCUAGGUUAUGAGUCUACCCUGCACCUUGUCACAGCUCAGUGAUUGUCCAGGGAUUCAGCUGUGACUCACAUGCUUUGCCUUUUACUUGCUCCAGGGUUUCCAUGCAUUGAAGGCUUCCUGGUGCCCUCUCAGUGGAAUUGCUUCUGGCCUGGCAGUUUGAUCCUGAGGGUGACCCAAAUGUUUCUCCCCUUGGCUCCAUAAUUUAAGAUGCCAGUGAUGACUAUUGUCUUUCUUCUCUUCAUUCUUGUCUUUCUCAUGACUAUUAUUAUUAUACAUACAGGUUUUUUUCUUCAUUUGCCUUUCAACAAGCUUGUAAUUAGAACUCAUUGUGUUUUGGAUGCUAGGUCCUGGGAAACCACUGAAUGGCUUGGGAAAUGCUUUGCUCUAGAGGGCAGGUACUUGGGCUAGGGGCUAUGUGCAUGGAAACAGGCUCUCACACGCUAAUGGGAGAGAUACCUGAUGAGUGGGGACUGUGACACAGAAAUGUAGCUCAUAGUAUCAUCGCUGCCUGCACAGAAAAGUACAUCAUACUUUUCCUACAGAGGACCUCAUGGAAGCAUGAUCCUAAAUGCGCUGGGUGGGCAGGAAGGGGCCUACUGGAGGCAGGGGGAAGAACAUUCUAGAACAAGGAAAUGGCAUUUACAAAAAUAUGCAAGAAUGAGAGAGAGCAUGACUUACACAGGGAAUACCAGGCUGGUGUGGCUGAGGGUGGGUGGCCAGGGGAGGGGUGAGGGAAGCUGCAGGGUGCCACGAUGAAGGACCUAGUAUGUGAUGCUGAGGAACUUGGGCAGUGUCCGGAAGGUGGUGAGAACCGGGGUAAGAUCUUAUUUACAUUGUGGAAGAGUUGCUCUGCCUGCACAGUGCAAGGUGGACUAGAGUAGGGUAAGACCACGGCCGGGUAAUCAGGGAGGAGAUUACCAAGAGGGAGAAGACACAAAGUCUGGUGGCCAAUCAGCUGCAGAGAGUGAUGGGGACAGGCGAGGAUGAAGUGGAGCUCUGAAACAGGAGCCAGAGACUCCCAAAGUCCGCAAAAAGAGCACACUUUGAAUGGCACAGACCCUUUUCCUUCCACUCACCCUCCCACAUUCAAGACUGUGAUGACCUAGGCUCAAGCCAAAAGUAUACAGAAAAGGGCCUAGGCUUUCCCAAUCUGCUCUUUCUCCUGAAAUAUAUAUGGUUCAGGAAUAGUAUUAGUACUGCUGUGAAAUAGCAAAAAGUGGUUGGCUCGAUUAUGUGGUUCAGAAAUCAUCAUGAACAAGCAGGGUGUGCAGAAAUUGGAAAAAGAAAACAACAAAAACAAACAUCUUCAAAAAAUGCUGAAGAAAAAAAUUAGUGUAGAGACAUAUAAAAGAUAGACCCCUAGAAAAGUCAACAAUAGGCCUGGUGCAGUGGCUUACACCUGUAAUCCCAGCACUUUUGGUGGCUGAGGCUCAUCUGAGGUCAAGAUUUCAAGACCAGCCUGGCCAACAUGGAAAAACCUCAUCUGUCUAAAAAUUUGAAAAUUAGCCAGGCAUGGUGGCACA
RNAcentral lists this long non-coding RNA (2290 nucleotides) under Homo sapiens (human). Its description in RNAcentral is "HSALNT0183262". Lineage: Eukaryota; Metazoa; Chordata; Mammalia; Primates; Hominidae. The record is from RNAcentral.